RNAcentral lists this ribosomal RNA (916 nucleotides) under Enterococcus faecalis. RNAcentral describes it as "bacterial SSU rRNA". It matches the Rfam family "Bacterial small subunit ribosomal RNA", at positions 545 to 1457 of the family's 1533-position model. The record is from RNAcentral. Lineage: Bacteria; Bacillati; Bacillota; Bacilli; Lactobacillales; Enterococcaceae.
CCGGAUUUAUUGGGCGUAAAGCGAGCGCAGGCGGUUUUCUUUAAGUCUGAUGUGAAAGCCCCCGGCUCAACCGGGGAGGGUCAUUGGAAACUGGGAGACUUGAGUGCAGAAGAGGAGAGUGGAAUUCCAUGUGUAGCGGUGAAAUGCGUAGAUAUAUGGAGGAACACCAGUGGCGAAGGCGGCUCUCUGGUCUGUAACUGACGCUGAGGCUCGAAAGCGUGGGGAGCAAACAGGAUUAGAUACCCUGGUAGUCCACGCCGUAAACGAUGAGUGCUAAGUGUUGGAGGGUUUCCGCCCUUCAGUGCUGCAGCAAACGCAUUAAGCACUCCGCCUGGGGAGUACGACCGCAAGGUUGAAACUCAAAGGAAUUGACGGGGGCCCGCACAAGCGGUGGAGCAUGUGGUUCAAUUCGAAGCAACGCGAAGAACCUUACCAGGUCUUGACAUCAAAAAAAACACUCUAGAGAUAGAGCUUUCCCUUCGGGGACAAAGUGACAGGUGGUGCAUGGUUGUCGUCAGCUCGUGUCGUGAGAUGUUGGGUUAAGUCCCGCAACGAGCGCAACCCUUAUUGUUAGUUGCCAUCAUUUAGUUGGGCACUCUAGCGAGACUGCCGGUGACAAACCGGAGGAAGGUGGGGAUGACGUCAAAUCAUCAUGCCCCUUAUGACCUGGGCUACACACGUGCUACAAUGGGAAGUACAACGAGUCGCUAGACCGCGAGGUCAUGCAAAUCUCUUAAAGCUUCUCUCAGUUCGGAUUGCAGGCUGCAACUCGCCUGCAUGAAGCCGGAAUCGCUAGUAAUCGCGGAUCAGCACGCCGCGGUGAAUACGUUCCCGGGCCUUGUACACACCGCCCGUCACACCACGAGAGUUUGUAACACCCGAAGUCGGUGAGGUAACCUUUUUGGAGCCAGCCGCC